Long non-coding RNA from Rhodamnia argentea, 240 nucleotides. RefSeq lists it as uncharacterized. The record is from RefSeq and is a predicted model, not a curated record. NCBI's taxonomy places the organism in Eukaryota, Viridiplantae, Streptophyta, Magnoliopsida, Myrtales, Myrtaceae. The transcript is spliced from 3 exons.
CACAAUGCCAGAAUGAGCCUGCCUUAAUGGCAACUUCCAAGACAGAUUUUUUUAGCUAUGUUGAGACCCAGCAAGAGAAAGAAGAAACCGCACCUUAUGAUGUGGUAGGAGGCGAAUAGCGAUCUAAGGCAAUCUCCGUGGCGUAAAGCAAAGCAAAGCAAAUCAGGCUUUGUUCGAGUGGAGUUCAGAUCGAGAGAGGAGAGAGAGAGAGAGAGAGAGAGAGAGGAGUGAAGGCAGAUG